Long non-coding RNA from Hypanus sabinus (Atlantic stingray), 757 nucleotides. RefSeq lists it as uncharacterized. NCBI's taxonomy places the organism in Eukaryota, Metazoa, Chordata, Chondrichthyes, Myliobatiformes, Dasyatidae. The transcript has 3 exons. The record is from RefSeq and is a predicted model, not a curated record.
CUUUCCUCGGAACUUCCCACCGCCGCUCCUGCCCUGACGUCUCAGCAAAUCUGAGUUCAGCGGAAAGCACUGGCGCUGUGCCAGCUUUCCGAAUAGGAUGCUGAUGAUGGGGAGCAAAAUGAAGCACUCUUCUGUGUAUUGCAAAUUCCUCAAAACAGCUGCAAGAACCACAACUGAACGCAAGCUGUUGCUGGAUAAUCAACAAGCUCAAUUUCUACAGAUUCUCAUGUGGCAUUUUUGUCCAUAUGUAAGAAAAUACACACAAGUCACUCAAUAUGAUGGAGCUCGUCAGCCUGGGAAGGCAGUCCACCUAAGAGAGGGAAAACUCUGAUUUCAAACCUCCACUGCCUUGUGGCCAUCCCCACUCAUGGGAAAGGCUUCGGGAGUAAACCCUGAGGACAAAUCCGGAGCUGGAGUCCCUAAGGCAGUCCGACAUUUCCUUCCACCUCUCUCUGGCAACUCAUGCGACGACUCUGGUGGCAAGCUGUAUCGGCCCUUGCCCUUCCCUUGGAAACACCAGUGUAAUGGAGAGGGGAGACUCGCUGCAUGGGCAACUGCUGGUCUUCCAUAAAACCUUGCCCAGGCCUGCACCCUGGAAACCAUUCCAGGCGCAGAUCUAUGGUCUCACGGGACUAAUGGAUGCUACCAUCUGUGUUUAUGACAAUGAGAUUCGUUAUAUUGAAAUUGCAUUGUUGUCUGAAAAAUUUAACACCAUGAAUUAAUUAAUUCAAAUUUAAAAGGUUGUCAAGAAGAUAGU